This 445-nucleotide ribosomal RNA is filed under the name uncultured bacterium. RNAcentral describes it as "partial 16S ribosomal RNA". It matches the Rfam family "Bacterial small subunit ribosomal RNA", at positions 331 to 793 of the family's 1533-position model. The record is from RNAcentral.
CCAGACUCCUACGGGAGGCAGCAGUGGGGAAUAUUGCACAAUGGGGGGAACCCUGAUGCAGCGACGCCGCGUGGGUGAAGGAGCACCUCGGUGCGUAAAGCCCUAUCGGCAGGGAAGAAACAGACGGUACCUGACUAAGAAGCCCCGGCUAACUACGUGCCAGCAGCCGCGGUAAUACGUAGGGGGCAAGCGUUAUCCGGAUUUACUGGGUGUAAAGGGGGCGCAGACGGCAGCGCAAGCCAGGAGUGAAAGCCCGGGGCCCAACCCCGGGACUGCUCUUGGAACUGCGCGGCUGGAGUGCAGGAGGGGCAGGCGGAAUUCCUGGUGUAGCGGUGAAAUGCGUAGAUAUUAGGAGGAACGCCAGUGGCGAAGGCGGCUUACUGGACGGCAACUGACGCUGAGGCUCGAAAGCGUGGGGAGCAAACAGGAUUAGAUACCCUCGUAC